Molecule: long non-coding RNA, 549 nt
Organism: Vidua chalybeata
Lineage: Eukaryota; Metazoa; Chordata; Aves; Passeriformes; Viduidae
Exons: 5
Source: RefSeq, a predicted model, not a curated record
AGGCAUCUGUAAAUCUAAGGGACUACGGAAACAAGACAGAUACAGAAAAUGGGAACAUGUCUACAAGUGCCAUCUGGCCUAAUACAGACAUGUCCAUAGGUGUUUCCUGAACUCCUCCCAUCAUGAAAGAAUCCUAACUGGACAGCAUUAAGUCUCUGUUCUAGGUCAGCCUUCACAAGGCAUCACUGGCUGGGCAGGAAAGGAAAAGACACGGAGAACUGGUGGCCUCUUCCUCUGCAAGGAAGGCAGAAUUUCACACAUUGGUUCUGCUCCUUUGGCUCCAAGGAAAGGAAUGAGUCUGAAGAGGAGCAGAGGAAGCCUGCUGAUCAAGGACUCUCCAGCAGCUCUGCCUAGAAAGUCAGUGGCUACAUCUACACAGCUUCACAUCUAAAAAAAACCAGACUUGGCACGAGUUUCCUGUGGAGAAGAUGGCUAACACAAAAUAGCACUCACUUGACAGCUUUCGGUUAGACACACACUGCUUGAAACCCCCAGCCCAACUUCAGUUACUAAAGGCAGGCUCGUGCAGACAGACACGGCCAAAACUGA